Long non-coding RNA from Oreochromis niloticus (Nile tilapia), 1833 nucleotides. NCBI's taxonomy places the organism in Eukaryota, Metazoa, Chordata, Actinopteri, Cichliformes, Cichlidae. The record is from Ensembl.
AUGAGCUCAAACCCUAAGAAAGGCAGAGAUGCUAAUAUCUGGAACAAAAUGGUUAACCGUUAUCAAGGCAAAAGUCAAAAAGAAGAAGAAACACAUGCCAGCCAGGUCGACCAAGUUCGACCAGCCAGUUCGACCAAACUCCAUCCAAUGACUAGUGAAGUUGAAAAGCUUAAAAGAGAGCUUGAACACUGCAAAAAACAACUUGAACACUGCAAAAAACAACUUACAAUCAAUAAGAGACGGGUCGAGGAUCUAACUCAAGAAAACAAGGACGUUUGGCAGAAUAAUAAGAUGCUGUCUUUGGUCAUGGACGACAGGACAGUUAUCGCUGACAGGUUAAACUCCAUAACCGAUGACCAGGAAGCUCUCAUAAAGUUCCGCGCAGAGACGGAGAAAACUCUGGCUGAACUUAAACAGAAACAUGAAGAAGAGGUGGAGGUACUGCAAGGACUGCUCGAAACUGAAAGAGAAAAGUUUGCGCGUCAGGAAUUUCACAACAGCCAAGUUGUUGAAUUACUAUUGAAACGCCACAAAGAGCAGAAAGAUGAGAUGCAGCAAUUGUAUGACGAAAACACACAAAAACUCGAACACAAAGCUUAUGCUGCAGAAACAAAGUUAAAAACGGUCAUUGGAAUUUAUGAUCACUACAUAGAAAAGCUUGAAAGUAAGAUAGACGUUAGUAAAGGUGUGACUGUCAGUGCAGUUAAAGACCGCGAGGACGAACAUAAAUCCUCGCAGUAUUGGAUCGAGGGCCUUUAUGAACAAAAUACAAACCUAAGGGACGAAAACAAACUAAAGGAUGAAACUGUGAAAGAGUUAACAGACGAGAAAGAUGAAAUGAGCAAAGUCAUAGACGAACAAAGGGCCCAGCAUAUGGAGAUGAAACGCAAAUGUCAGAGAAAUAUUAGGGCUCUUGCAUUUGAAAAGAAAAUGAAGGCUGUGGUCGAAGAUGAACUUGUUUCUUUGAAAAAGAAAAAUGAAGACCUAAAAAAGGCCCUAAGCAAAGAAAAGGAAGAACACAGAAAGACAGCAAUGGACAGGCAUAAAGUGAAAACGGCACACAAUCAGGCACUGAGUGAAAAGGUGGUGCUGGAGGACAAAAUGCGCAACAUAAUAAAACAAAGGGAAAAAUUUAUACACAAGACGAAUUGGCUGGAGAAGAAAGAGCGCUACUUCCAAGAGGAGUUGUACCAGUGCGUUUUGUCCUUUGGAAAGGCAUUUCCGCAUGCAACUCACUUCCGAGAAAAAGAAAAGGUGGAAUUUAGGCAUAUGUUCCUCAACAUGAAAAAGAAAUACGUAGACGGUGUGGAAGGCAUCCCCUUUGUUGGAAUAACGAAGGAGAUUCUUGAGAAAGAGCUGAGCGGUCUACGUACCAGAUGCAAGGGUCUAGAGACAGCUUUACUAGAUAAAAAACGGGAGCUGGAAUCGUUUGAAAAGAAGUACAAUGAUAUGGUAAAGACUUUCGAACACGCUUUAUUCAAAGAAAGACAGGAGCUCAUUGGACCAAUGAACGAGAUUAUCAAAAAGGCUUACGAUGGAGAAAAAGAGAUAGGUCAUCUAAAAUCUAUAGUGAAAGACGUUCAACUCAAGCUUAAAUUAGAAAAACAGAAAGGAGAAAAGCUCGCAUUGUUGGUCCGUAGAAGUGAGAUGGGGAGAUGUUGUGGGGAGACUAAACCUCGUCCACCUCCAGUGCAAACUAAAUCUACUCAAGUGCUUCCAAAACACCCUGGCAGACAUGUAGGAAUGUCUUACCCAGUGUAUCCCCCUGUAGAGUCUCCAUCAACACCACGAUUCAUCAGUUCUGACGAUGGAUUACCACCAGUUGAUUGUUAA